UUAGUACUCCCUCCGUCCAAAAAUAUUUGUCAUUAAAAUGAACAAAAAAAAGAUGUAUCUAAAACUAAAAUACAUCUAGAUACAUCUUCUUUUAUCCAUUUUAAUAACAAGUAUUUCCGGACGGAGGGAGUAUUAA
Non-coding RNA from Triticum urartu, 136 nucleotides. The record is from Rfam. Lineage: Eukaryota; Viridiplantae; Streptophyta; Magnoliopsida; Poales; Poaceae.